This 294-nucleotide ribosomal RNA is filed under the name Malassezia restricta. RNAcentral's name for it is "partial 26S ribosomal RNA". It matches the Rfam family "Eukaryotic large subunit ribosomal RNA", at positions 336 to 621 of the family's 3401-position model. The record is from RNAcentral. Lineage: Eukaryota; Fungi; Basidiomycota; Malasseziomycetes; Malasseziales; Malasseziaceae.
GAUAGCGAACAAGUACCGUGAGGGAAAGAUGAAAAGCACUUUGGAAAGAGAGUUAAAAGUACGUGAAAUUGUCGAAAGGGAAGCACUUGAAGUCAGCCAUGCUGCUUGAGACUCAGCCUGGCUUUUGCUUGGUGUAUUUCUCGGUAGCAAGCCAGCAUUGGUUUGUGUCGUCGGAGAAGCGUAUGGGGAAUGUGGCAUCCUCGGAUGUGUUAUAGCCCUGUGCAGGAUACGACGACGUAGACCAAGGAACGCAGUGUGCCUCUGGGCGGGUCUUCGGACACCUUCACACUUAGG